CACCGCGGUUAUACGAUAGGCUCAAAUUGAUACUUUCCGGCGUAAAGUGUGAUUAGAUUAUAAAACAAACUAAAGCCAAACACCUCUUAAGCUGUCAUACGCUUAUAGAGCAUACGAAGCCCCACAACGAAAGUGGCUUUAAAAACUAUUGAACUCACGACCAUCAAGAAA
RNAcentral lists this ribosomal RNA (171 nucleotides) under Bathycongrus wallacei. Its description in RNAcentral is "partial 12S rRNA". Lineage: Eukaryota; Metazoa; Chordata; Actinopteri; Anguilliformes; Congridae. The record is from RNAcentral.